UUUCCGUAGGUGAACCUGCGGAAGGAUCAUUAUUGAAUGAAACACUUCUGGCUUUAUGCUGUUGUGCUGGCCCUUUGGGCAAUGUGCACACGGCUCUGGUCACUUGUUUCUUCUGUUCCACCUGUGCACUGCCGGUAGACACGCUGUGUCUAUGAUAUUUGUUAACACACAACAAUGUUAGUUGGCAUGUUAUAUAUAAUAAUAAAAUAUACAACUUUCAACAACGGAUCUCUUGGCUCUC
Molecule: unclassified non-coding RNA, 241 nt
Filed under: plant metagenome
Description: partial contains small subunit ribosomal RNA, internal transcribed spacer 1, and 5.8S ribosomal RNA
Source: RNAcentral